AUGAAGGAGCUGGGUCUGCGAGAGGAAGACCUGGACGACGUAGUGUUCGAUGAGAAGGAUGCACCCCCGGUGGCGGCGAGAUGGGUUGCCCUAACUAGGGUUAACACCAACAAGACCUAUAGCAGGACAUGGUUCUACCGCAACAUGAGGGCCUCCUGGGAUAUUGCACAGGAAGCAAAAUUCAAGCCUUUGGAGGAUAACUUGUACAAGGUGCAAUUUUCUUGUUUGGGGGACUGGGAGAGGGUCAUGCAUGAGGGGCCCUGGAAUUUACGGGAGAUGCUGUGA
This 285-nucleotide ribosomal RNA is filed under the name Triticum aestivum (bread wheat). Its description in RNAcentral is "partial small subunit ribosomal RNA". Lineage: Eukaryota; Viridiplantae; Streptophyta; Magnoliopsida; Poales; Poaceae. The record is from RNAcentral.